UGUGGGAGCUGGCUUGCCUGCGAUGGCGGUGGACCUGUUGGCAUCUUGGUUAACUGACCCACCGCUAUCGCAGGCAAGCCAGCUCCCACA
This 90-nucleotide unclassified non-coding RNA is filed under the name Pseudomonas salomonii. The record is from RNAcentral. Lineage: Bacteria; Pseudomonadati; Pseudomonadota; Gammaproteobacteria; Pseudomonadales; Pseudomonadaceae.